GAGAGGAGAGAGAGAGAGAGAGGGAGCUGGAUGCUGUGUUUUUCUUCCCACAAUUGGCAUUAUUCCUGCGUUUUUUUGCCCACGAAUUAGAUCAGAACGAGAGAGAAACGAUGCCGACUGACGACGAGUUAUCUAAAUUACUCAUGGUGUGACAUGCAUGAGUCUCUUAUUUUCCAUUGUACAUGAUAUAAGCCUAAAGAAAAUAUUGAUUAUGAAGGAACUGCACCCUCCUUAGACUAAAAGCCCGUUACUCCGUCCUCUCCUGCGGAUCCAAAAACACCGCCUUGGAGCUUCACCCUUAGACUCUUACCGAAUGGCUGUAUUUCCCGACUGGGGGCUCGUCUCCUGGAACUUCACCUGAUCACUGCUGGCGGAGGAGGCCUUACUGCGAGAAGCGAAGAGAGGAGCACAAAGGGCUGAAACUUGUGGGCCAUCGGGAUGGUUGAAAAAUAGACUUCCUUCAACGAAUAAAACCUUCCUUCAUAACACAAUUUUAGGAGCGUUGGCAUCGAACAAAGCUAAGGAGAGGAAGGAAAAAAGUCAGAGUGAGCGAGGAAAGAGAAAGAGAGAACAAGAAGAAAAGGAGAGGAACACAUAUAAAAGACUUUAUAUACAUGCAAGCACCAAGACAAAAGCUUCACUUGCAAACACAAGCAGAAAAGCUGCACAGCAUGAAGAAGGCAGUAGAGAGGCCAGAGAUAAAAAUAAAAAUGAAAAGUUGAUGGUGUGGAGCGAAAAUGGUUUGGAAAUUUCAUCGAGCAACAGAAGCACCGAAAAGAAGAAAUCAAAAGACAGUAAGAGCGCUAUAAAGAAGGACAGAUCAAAAAUUUUAUCGAGAAAUAUUAAUUUUGUCUCAAGUACUUUGGAGGAUGAGACUGAAACAUAGUGAAUAUGAAACCUUGUGAAAACCCAUCCCCUAUAUACAAAAUAUUUUUAAUAUAUGAAUAAAUUUUCUACCAUUAUCCAUUAGUGAAUAGAAGUGUUUUUUCGAAGUGUAACAGGGAAUAAAAUCACGUAAACCGAUUGAAACAUAUUUUUGAAGUGAGUGCACAUACAAUAUAUUUCUCUUGGAUAUUAUGUUCCACACGAGAACCAAUUUUUCGGGGAGUUUUAUGUGUGCAAACAACCAAGAUUAAAGUGGUACGUGAGGAAAAACUGGCUCAGAAAUAACCCUAGUCUUCAAACCUUCACGAUCUGGAGUCACGUAAAGCUGCAGUGUCCAGUAAGCUCAAGUGUUCUGCCAUUAGCAUCUUGAAAAUCUUGAGCAGCACAAAAACUGCAGUGAGCCAAACAAAUGUGUUCCAAACUGUCAGGAGAGGAUUUAUUUAUUCAGUAAAGGCUGAAUAAGGUGUGCACAAAAGCCCAUUUUACGCUUGUCCAAGGUGAUCUUCCCAAGGCACACAGUAGCAAAGGUAGUCCAGUUACUUAAGCUACAAGUGCUUAUUUCCUUUGAUUGUGCAGAUGCUACUCAGGGUAUAUACAAUGCAAGAGUACCCAGGCUAAUGAUAACAUAUGUCAGGAGCCAGUGAAGUUACCAACAGGCAGUGCUUUGACCUUGGAGAUCAGGGAUUGCUUUUGUGAAAUGCAUGGCCUGCAUGGAUGUUGCACAUGGGACUCUAGAGCAGCAAAGAGAUCACUAUCACCACUGAUGUCCUUCACAGCAUGGCAUUCAGCAGAAUGUUUCCCCUGCUAGAGGGAAUUGAUGGCCAACACUCAGAUGGAAAGGCAGUAAUAUCUCAAAUUUAACAGACUAGCUAUGUAUGGCAUGAUGUACAUGCCAUGUCCACUGUAAUUUUAGUUUAUUUAUGUGUUCAUGUGUAAUAAACCUACUUCAAUCAGUGACCAAGAUCUCAAAGGAACACUUGGAACAGCGUGAAGGUUCUUGCCAUUUGAUGACAGCUGCUGGAACAUCAGCAACAGAAUUGCUGCUUUGCAUGUGGUCACGAGAGACAUUUAAGGUUAUUGUUUAUGGUGGCUCAGUACUUGUGGAGCCAUCUGUGAGCAACAAAAUUCACCAAAACUACAGUGGACAGUACAUGUACCUGUGAUUGAUGGGUUAGGUAGAGAACCCAUAUAAGGGAAGAGAGGAAUGCUGAGAGAGGUAUUGGUAGCAAAUUUUUCUAGAUUCACGUCCAGAUAUAGUAUGUUAUUCCUGUGGCACUGUACUGUGCUGCUACAUUGUUUUGAAUUCUUUACUGAGUAUUAUUUUAUACUGAGUUUGAAUACUGAAAAUUUUUAUAAAAGGAUUGUUAUCUAAUACUUAAUUCUUUUAUAUAUUUAUAUAAUACUCUAUUUUAAAGUUUUAUUACUAUUUCAACUUAAUAAAUUGAUAUGAAGAAACAAAAACUUAUGACAAUUGACUGCUUGUAUUCAACUGCAUAUUUGGUCUUAGAACUGGAUUAUAAUAAAAUGACAAAAAUAUAAAUUAUUGAAUGUAUGUGUUCCUUUCCUGCAUUCCUUUAGUAUGAACAGAAUCUUGUGGUUUGUUGAUUGCAUUUCAGCUGUAUAUAUAUUUAAAGCCC
Molecule: unclassified non-coding RNA, 2522 nt
Filed under: Penaeus monodon (black tiger shrimp)
Lineage: Eukaryota; Metazoa; Arthropoda; Malacostraca; Decapoda; Penaeidae
Description: protein POLR1D-like, transcript variant X1
Source: RNAcentral